This 1246-nucleotide ribosomal RNA is filed under the name Phytoplasma sp. Its description in RNAcentral is "bacterial SSU rRNA". It matches the Rfam family "Bacterial small subunit ribosomal RNA", at positions 153 to 1399 of the family's 1533-position model. Lineage: Bacteria; Bacillati; Mycoplasmatota; Mollicutes; Acholeplasmatales; Acholeplasmataceae. RNAcentral also lists the same sequence under 1 other name. The record is from RNAcentral.
GAAACGACUGCUAAGACUGGAUAGGAGACAAGAAGGCAUCUUCUUGUUUUUAAAAGACCUAGCAAUAGGUAUGCUUAGGGAGGAGCUUGCGUCACAUUAGUUAGUUGGUGGGGUAAAGGCCUACCAAGACUAUGAUGUGUAGCCGGGCUGAGAGGUUGAACGGCCACAUUGGGACUGAGACACGGCCCAAACUCCUACGGGAGGCAGCAGUAGGGAAUUUUCGGCAAUGGAGGAAACUCUGACCGAGCAACGCCGCGUGAACGAUGAAGUAUUUCGGUACGUAAAGUUCUUUUAUUAGGGAAGAAUAAAUGAUGGAAAAAUCAUUCUGACGGUACCUAAUGAAUAAGCCCCGGCUAACUAUGUGCCAGCAGCCGCGGUAAUACAUAGGGGGCAAGCGUUAUCCGGAAUUAUUGGGCGUAAAGGGUGCGUAGGCGGUUAAAUAAGUUUAUGGUCUAAGUGCAAUGCUCAACAUUGUGAUGCUAUAAAAACUGUUUAGCUAGAGUAAGAUAGAGGCAAGUGGAAUUCCAUGUGUAGUGGUAAAAUGCGUAAAUAUAUGGAGGAACACCAGUAGCGAAGGCGGCUUGCUGGGUCUUUACUGACGCUGAGGCACGAAAGCGUGGGGAGCAAACAGGAUUAGAUACCCUGGUAGUCCACGCCGUAAACGAUGAGUACUAAACGUUGGGUAAAACCAGUGUUGAAGUUAACACAUUAAGUACUCCGCCUGAGUAGUACGUACGCAAGUAUGAAACUUAAAGGAAUUGACGGGACUCCGCACAAGCGGUGGAUCAUGUUGUUUAAUUCGAAGGUACCCGAAAAACCUCACCAGGUCUUGACAUGCUUCUGCAAAGCUGUAGAAACACAGUGGAGGUUAUCAGUUGCACAGGUGGUGCAUGGUUGUCGUCAGCUCGUGUCGUGAGAUGUUGGGUUAAGUCCCGCAACGAGCGCAACCCUUAUUGUUAGUUACCAGCACGUAAUGGUGGGGACUUUAGCAAGACUGCCAGUGAUAAAUUGGAGGAAGGUGGGGACGACGUCAAAUCAUCAUGCCCCUUAUGACCUGGGCUACAAACGCGAUACAAUGGCUGUUGCAAAGGGUAGCUGAAGCGCAAGUUUUUGGCGAAUCUCAAAAAAACAGUCUCAGUUCGGAUUGAAGUCUGCAACUCGACUUCAUGAAGUUGGAAUCGCUAGUAAUCGCGAAUCAGCAUGUCGCGGUGAAUACGUUCUCGGGGUUUGUACACACCGCCCGUCA